GACGGAGGAUGCAAGCGUUAUCCGGAAUGAUUGGGCGUAAAGCGUCCGCAGGUGGCUUUUCAAGUCUGCUGUCAAAGACCGGGGCUUAACUUCGGAAAGGCAGUGGAAACUGAACAGCUAGAGUAUGGUAGGGGCAGAGGGAAUUCCUGGUGUAGCGGUGAAAUGCGUAGAGAUCAGGAAGAACAUCGGUGGCGAAGGCGGGUCUCUGGGCCGUAACUGACGCUGAGGAGCGAAAGCAUGGGGAGCGAACAGG
Molecule: ribosomal RNA, 253 nt
Filed under: uncultured bacterium
Lineage: Bacteria
Description: partial 16S ribosomal RNA
Rfam family: Bacterial small subunit ribosomal RNA
Source: RNAcentral